RNAcentral lists this ribosomal RNA (579 nucleotides) under uncultured bacterium. RNAcentral's name for it is "partial 16S ribosomal RNA". It matches the Rfam family "Bacterial small subunit ribosomal RNA", at positions 355 to 1376 of the family's 1533-position model. The record is from RNAcentral.
UGAGGAAUAUUGGUCAAUGGGCGAGAGCCUGAACCAGCCAAAUCGCGUGAAGGAAGACUGCCUUAUGGGUUGUAAACUUCUUUUAUACAGGAAUAAAAAAGGGGACGUGUCCCUUAUUGCAUGUACUGUAUGAAUAAGCAUCGGCUAACUCCGUGCCAGCAGCCGCGGUAAUACGGAGGAUGCGAGCGUUAUCCGGAUUUAUUGGGUUUAAAGGGUGCGCAGGCGGGCUUUUAAGUCAGCGGUGAAAUCUCGGGGCUUAACUCCGAAACUGCCGUUGAAACUGGGAGUCUUGAGUAUGGAUGAAGUAGGCGGAAUUCGUUGUGUAGCGGUGACAUGCUUAGAUAUAACGAGGAACUCCGAUUGCGUAGGCAGCUUACUAAGCCAUAACUGACGCUCAAGCACGAAAGCGUGGGGAUCAAACAGGAUUAGAUACCCUGGUAGUCCACGCCGUAAACGAUGAUUACUAGUUGUAUGCGAUAUACCGUAUGUGACUAAGCGAAAGCGAUAAGUAAUCCACCUGGGGAGUACGCCGGCAACGGUGAAACUCAAAGGAAUUGACGGGGUCAUAGCUGUUUCCUG